Non-coding RNA from Lonchura striata (white-rumped munia), 308 nucleotides. The record is from RefSeq and is a predicted model, not a curated record. Lineage: Eukaryota; Metazoa; Chordata; Aves; Passeriformes; Estrildidae.
UGAGCUUCAGUGAGAACAAGGAGCAGCCUUUAGCUGGAGGCACAGGGAAGCUGAGGAGCUGGAGAUGAGGCAGCACAGCUGGCAAGACAUAAACAUGCGAGGGCCCUGUGCAGUGGAGCAGGAUGGGUGUUUUUGGGGCACACAGGACACAUCCCCUGCUGCCAUUUGUCAUCUGUAUGGGCGGGCAUCAAUCCAGCUGAAAAACACACAUGAAAACUCCCUGAGGGGCUCACAGAGACAGGAGUUCCCUUCUCUUUGAAUUGCCAUUUGUAUUCCGAGUGUUGUGUAAACAUUAAAUAUUUAAAACA